GCGAGUGAAGCGGCAACAGCUCAAAUUUGAAAGCUGGCCUUCGGGUCCGCAUUGUAAUUUGUAGAGGAUGCUUUGGGUGAAACGCCAGUCUAAGUUCCUUGGAACAGGACGUCAUAGAGGGUGAGAAUCCCGUAUGUGACUGGAAAUGUUAACCUAUGUAAAGCUCCUUCGACGAGUCGAGUUGUUUGGGAAUGCAGCUCUAAAUGGGAGGUAAAUUUCUUCUAAAGCUAAAUAUUGGCGAGAGACCGAUAGCGCACAAGUAGAGUGAUCGAAAGAUGAAAAGCACUUUGGAAAGAGAGUUAAAAAGCACGUGAAAUUGUUGAAAGGGAAGCGCUUGCAAUCAGACUUGUUUAAACUGUUCGGCCGGUCUUCUGACCGGUUUACUCAGUUUGGACAGGCCAGCAUCAGUUUCGGCGGCCGGAUAAAGGCUCUGGGAAUGUGGCCUUCACUUCGGUGAAGGUGUUAUAGCCCAGGGUGUAAUACGGCCAGCCGGGACUGAGGUCCGCGCUUCGGCUAGGAUGCUGGCGUAAUGGUUGUAAGCGACCCGUCUUGAAACACGGACCA
This 564-nucleotide ribosomal RNA is filed under the name Aureobasidium pullulans. RNAcentral's name for it is "eukaryotic LSU rRNA". It matches the Rfam family "Eukaryotic large subunit ribosomal RNA", at positions 89 to 668 of the family's 3401-position model. Lineage: Eukaryota; Fungi; Ascomycota; Dothideomycetes; Dothideales; Saccotheciaceae. The record is from RNAcentral.